CUCUUUUUGAUUUUAAUUUAAAGUUUGGCCUGCCCACUGAAAUUUGAAGGGCCGCAGUAUUUUGACUGUGCAAAGGUAGCAUAAUCAUUAGUUUUUUAAUUGAAAGCUUGUAUGAAUGGUUUGAUGAGAAAAUUACUGUUUCAAUUUUAAUGUUAGAAUUUUAUUUUUAAGUUAAAAAGCUUAAAUUUAAUUUAAAGACGAGAAGACCCUAUAGAGUUUAACUAAAAAUUAAAUUAUUUAUUUUAGAAUUUUAUUUUAAUAAUUUAAUUUAAGUUAUGUUGGGGUGACAGAAAAAUUAAAUUAACUUUUUUUUUAUAAAAACAAUUAUAAUUGGGUGUUUGAUCCAUAAAAAUGAUUAAAAGAUUAAAUUACCUUAGGGAUAACAGCGUAAUCUUUUUAAUAGUACUUAUUGAAAAAAAGGUUUGCGACCUCGAUGUUGGAUUAAAAUUUAUUUUUGGUGUAGAAGCUAAAAUAUUAGGUCUGUUCGACCUUUAAAAUUUUACAUGAUCUGAGUUUAAACCGGUGUAAGCCAGGUUGGUUUCUAUCUUAAAUAUAAAAAAUAUUUUAGUACGAAAGGAUCAAAUAUUAUAUUAAUAAUAUUAAUUUAGAAUUUUAUUUUGGCAGAAUAGUGCAAAGGAUUUAGAAUCUUUAAAUGUAUUGAUAUACAGAUAAAAAUUGAUUUAUUGUUAAUAUUUUUUAAUUUUUUAAUUUUAUUAAUUAGAGUAUUAGUUGGUGUUGCGUUUUUAACAUUAUUAGAGCGUAAGUUAUU
Molecule: ribosomal RNA, 769 nt
Filed under: Henosepilachna laokayensis
Lineage: Eukaryota; Metazoa; Arthropoda; Insecta; Coleoptera; Coccinellidae
Description: partial 16S ribosomal RNA
Rfam family: Archaeal large subunit ribosomal RNA (bases 1-572)
Source: RNAcentral